GAUGAACGCUGGCGGCGUGCCUAAUACAUGCAAGUCGAGCGACAAGACGAGGAGCUUUCUCUUUUACCGUUAGCGGGUGACGGGUGGGUAACGCGUGGAUAACCUUCUACUAUUACUGGGGUGACAUCGGGGAACCAGAGACACUAAUGGCUCAUAUAUUGUACGGCUGAAAUCAAUAGAGCUUCGGGCCUUUCGCGAUUGAAUUAGCCCGCGUCGCAUUAGCUUGUUGGCAGGGUAACGGCCCACCAAGGCAACGAUGCGUAGCCGACCUGAGAGGAUGAUCAGCCACACUGGAACUGAGACACGGUCCAGACUCCUACGGGAGGCAGCAGUAGGGAAUCUUCCGCAAUGGGCGAAAGCCUGACGGAGCAACACCGCGUGAGUGAUGAAGGUCUUCGGGUCGUAAAACUCUGUUAUUAGGAAAGAACAAAUGUGGAAGUAACUAUGCACGUCUUGACGGUACCUAAUCAGAAAGCCACGGCUAACUACGUG
Molecule: ribosomal RNA, 492 nt
Filed under: uncultured bacterium
Lineage: Bacteria
Description: partial 16S ribosomal RNA
Rfam family: Bacterial small subunit ribosomal RNA
Source: RNAcentral